Molecule: ribosomal RNA, 253 nt
Filed under: uncultured bacterium
Lineage: Bacteria
Description: partial 16S ribosomal RNA
Rfam family: Bacterial small subunit ribosomal RNA
Source: RNAcentral
UACGUAGGUGGCAAGCGUUGUCCGGAAUUACUGGGCGUAAAGCGUGCGCAGGCGGUUUUGUCAGUCUGACGUGAAAUCCCCGGGCUUAACCUGGGAAUUGCGUUGGAGACUGCAAGGCUAGAAUCUGGCAGAGGGGGGUAGAAUUCCACGUGUAGCAGUGAAAUGCGUAGAGAUGUGGAGGAACACCGAUGGCGAAGGCAGCCCCCUGGGUCAAGAUUGACGCUCAUGCACGAAAGCGUGGGGAGCAAACAGG